RNAcentral lists this ribosomal RNA (750 nucleotides) under uncultured bacterium. Its description in RNAcentral is "bacterial SSU rRNA". It matches the Rfam family "Bacterial small subunit ribosomal RNA", at positions 1 to 738 of the family's 1533-position model. The record is from RNAcentral.
GGGAAAUUUGUCGUUUGUGAAGGAGGUACUGCAGUCGAGCGAGCUUGCCUAGAUGAUUUUAGUGCUUGCACUAAAUGAAACUAGAUACAAGCGACCGUCGGACGGGUGAGUAACACGUGGGUAACCUGCCCAAGAGACUGGGAUAACACCUGGAAACAGAUGCUAAUACCGGAUAACAACACUAGACGCAUGUCUAGAGUUUGAAAGAUGGUUCUGCUAUCACUCUUGGAUGGACCUGCGGUGCAUUAGCUAGUCGGUAAGGUAACGGCUUACCAAGGCAAUGAUGCAUAGCCGAGUUGAGAGACUGAUCGGCCACAUUGGGACUGAGACACGGCCCAAACUCCUACGGGAGGCAGCAGUAGGGAAUCUUCCACAAUGGACGAAAGUCUGAUGGAGCAACGCCGCGUGAGUGAAGAAGGGUUUCGGCUCGUAAAGCUCUGUUGGUAGUGAAGAAAGAUAGAGGUAGUAACUGGCCUUUAUUUGACGGUAAUUACUUAGAAAGUCACGGCUAACUACGUGCCAGCAGCCGCGGUAAUACGUAGGUGGCAAGCGUUGUCCGGAUUUAUUGGGCGUAAAGCGAGUGCAGGCGGUUCAAUAAGUCUGAUGUGAAAGCCUUCGGCUCAACCGGAGAAUUGCAUCAGAAACUGUUGAACUUGAGUGCAGAAGAGGAGAGUGGAACUCCAUGUGUAGCGGUGGAAUGCGUAGAUAUAUGGAAGAACACCAGUGGCGAAGGCGGCUCUCUGGUCUGCA